Panicum hallii is the source of this 1320-nucleotide long non-coding RNA. RefSeq lists it as uncharacterized. Lineage: Eukaryota; Viridiplantae; Streptophyta; Magnoliopsida; Poales; Poaceae. The record is from RefSeq and is a predicted model, not a curated record. The transcript is spliced from 2 exons.
AAGGCGUGGAAGAGAAACGGAGUCCUUAUUCCAGGAGCUCAGGCGGAGCUGGUGGAGCCAGAAAACAUAGCUCCUCCAGCUCCGGCUCCACGGGUCCUAAAACAGCUUCAGGGCUGAAGCCGUGCAGGAGCCGGAGCCCAAAUUGCACUAGGCGGCAGGAGCUGAAAAUAGUAGCUCCUCCCGGCUCCACCUUGACUCCGUGCUGAUGCAAAUGAAAUUAUCUCCUAACUUAACCAAAAUUACACCCUAUCUGCCUCCCACCUCAUGGCUGGAAGCAACAGCGGCGCGGCCGCGCUGGGCCUGCAGCUCCGUCAGCCAUGUGCGCCUCCGCUGGAGCCGGCACCGGCACGCGGCCCCGUCUUGGCUGGCACUGCCGCGGGAGGACGGCACGGCGGGGACGAAGCAGCGCGGCCAUGGCCCCAGCAGCAUGGCCUGACAGAGUGACGGAGAUGCAGCAUCGAUUGGGAUGGAGCAGGGCGGCGGGGCCGAACAGACGGAGCUCGCGAGUACCGGGUAGGAUGAGGCCGGAAGCCUGAACUUGCUAGCCCAUGGCGACUGCGAAGGUAUCUGCUCACACCACCAUGGCACCAUCUAUUUCUUUGACUGAACGAGAGAGAAAGCACAGAGCAUAGACGAACGGAUAGGGGUGGACACUCGAAGAGGAAAGAGAAGGUCCACUCCAAAAUUCAUUUGCUAACUGAAUCGAAUAGUUAGGGGUAUAAUAGAUAUUUACCAUUUUUCUAUAUGUUUAUUGAAAAUGAAGAAGCCAUUUUGCCAAAUGAUCAACUCCAUCAGAGAAGCUCCGUCAGAGAAGCGGUUCCACCAAAGAAGCCAAAGAAGCCACGGUCGGAGCUGUUUCAGCUGGAGCUGAAGCCCUACCAAACAAUACCCUUAAUUUUGCCAAACAUACCCUUAAUUUUGAUUUGUUUCAGUGAUUCGUGUACUCUCGUUGUUGUGCCAGCAAUUAUGAAGUAUCGUUGUUGUGCCAGCAAUUAUGAAGUAGCGACUUCGAUGCUACUCAGUUGCUGGCAGCAACGAUAUGGCCUGCCGCUGCGGACAACCUCACAUCUCAGGUCUGAACUUUUUUUUUAGAUCAAUCCCGCUCCAUCUGCUUGCUCUGAAUGCAUCGGUGCGAAAUCACCGUCCCAUCGGAAAUUCCUCCAUCCGCAGUGAAAAAUGAAGCAAGCCUUUCUAUGCAUCCGUUUCUUCCCGACCAGAGAUGAAACACCCAUCCUCCACCCGGAGAACGGAAUUCCAGAACAUCACUACAUCAGUGCAUUUCAAAACGGUCACACCAGAAACUUUGCUGUCACUGUAAUU